UACGUAGGCAGCAAGCGUUGUUCGGAGUUACUGGGCGUAAAGGGUGUGUAGGCGGUUUUUUUAAGUUUGGUGUGAAAUCUCCCGGCUCAACUGGGAGGGUGCGCCGAAUACUGAAAGACUUCGAGUGCGGGAGAGGAAAGUGGAAUUCCUGGUGUAGCGGUGAAAUGCGCAGAUAUCAGGAGGAACACCCGUAGCGAAGGCGGCACUCUGGGCCGAAUACUGACACUGAGGGAGCGAAAGCGUGGGGAGCGAACAGGA
RNAcentral lists this ribosomal RNA (258 nucleotides) under uncultured bacterium. Its description in RNAcentral is "partial 16S ribosomal RNA". It matches the Rfam family "Bacterial small subunit ribosomal RNA", at positions 524 to 777 of the family's 1533-position model. The record is from RNAcentral.